Molecule: long non-coding RNA, 375 nt
Organism: Anguilla anguilla (European eel)
Lineage: Eukaryota; Metazoa; Chordata; Actinopteri; Anguilliformes; Anguillidae
Exons: 3
Source: RefSeq, a predicted model, not a curated record
CAAUCAGAGCGAAAUUCCCAGCCGGCAGCAGUUUUUGUAAAGGUUUACAAAAUGACAAAGAAGCAGCCUACUUGGAGUCGCUCAAUUGCGACAUUUAGUUUCAAAACCAAUCCUGCUUGCCUGGAGGAGUUAUCCUGUUCCACCUGGAGGAGUUAUCCUGCUCUGCCAUGAGGAAGUUCACUCUUCAGUCACCUUUUCCAGCUUUCAUUUGAAAAGUUUGAAAAAGGUUUGUGAGAAUUAUGGCUGUAGAGGGUGCAGGAUGGAUGCAGUAAAUGUACAAGAGAAGACAUAAAAUGUGAAAUGCAGGUCAGAGUCUGUGAAAAAGAGACCAAGACAAAAGCAACACAUUUUCAGUGGAUAAUGAGCUCUGAUAAA